CACUUAGAGGAAGGAGAAGUCGUAACAAGGUUUCCGUAGGUGAACCUGCGGAAGGAUCAUUCGCACUAUCCAAAACUUGUCGUGAACCUGGCUGAAUGCGACUGCUUGUGAGUUUGUUUUUGCAAGUGGAAGCUAUGGGCGACUGGAGGUAUUCGGAGCUGCACUGUGUGUAUGUUCUGGGUGCUGCCCAUCGUCAUUGGUCCCUCUUGGACCUUCCACAACUCAACUUACUCUUGUUUCAGCUUGUGUCAAGGAUAAUUUGAUUACAAUUUUCAGCGACGGAUGUCUUGGCUCGAGCACCUAUGAAGGGCGCAGCGAAGUGCGAUAAUCGUUGUGAAUUGCAGAACUCCGUGAACCAAUGGCCUCUUGAACGUGCAUUGCGCUCUUGGAAUAUGCCUGAGAGCAUGUCUGCUUCAGUGCUUCUACUUUCUUUUCUGCUGCUCUUGUUAUCAGGAGCAGUGCUGCUACAUGCUUCUGCAAUUGGCACUGGCAUGCUAAGUACCAAGUUUCGCUUGCUGUUGUGACUGAUCAACAUCUCAUGUCGUUUCAGUUGGCGAAACAAAGGCUUGUGUGUUCCAACACUUCC
RNAcentral lists this ribosomal RNA (586 nucleotides) under uncultured Symbiodinium. RNAcentral describes it as "eukaryotic LSU rRNA". The stretch from base 268 to 422 matches the Rfam family "5.8S ribosomal RNA". The record is from RNAcentral. Lineage: Eukaryota; Dinophyceae; Suessiales; Symbiodiniaceae.